CAAUUCCAUGGAGUGGGUUCAAAUCCACAUAGAAGGAAUAAAACAAACCUGCAUCCAGUACUUAGAGUUUCAUAAACCAAUCUCUCCUGAGAUUAUCAGGAACGUCACUUUAAUUGACGAAUACAAAACCAAUGCAACCUCGGUUUCUACAACAUCAGCGCCAAUUCUUGAUCCAGAUUCAGUGACAGAGCUUUAACAACGUAUUGAAGACAUGUCAUGUGUAGAUGACUGUAACCACAAUGGUGACUGUGUUUAUGGAACGUGCAAAUGUCGCACUGGUUAUUUAGGUGAAGAUUGUGCCAUUCAUGAAAAUGAUGCCCCGAACAUCAUCGGCAUACCAGACAAUGGUUUGUGUGAUCUAUCAGAAAGACCGUGUGAACAGACGGCCGUUGUAGGAA
Molecule: long non-coding RNA, 398 nt
Organism: Dreissena polymorpha
Lineage: Eukaryota; Metazoa; Mollusca; Bivalvia; Myida; Dreissenidae
Exons: 3
Source: RefSeq, a predicted model, not a curated record